AGAGUGAACGCUGGCGGCGUGCUUAACACAUGCAAGUCGAACGAGAACGGGUCUUAGCUUGCUAAGAUUGUCAGCUAAGUGGCGCACGGGUGAGUAAUAUAUAGUUAACCUGCCCUAGAGAGAGGGAUAACGUUUGGAAACGAACGCUAACACCUCAUAUGCCUUUAAGUCAAAAGACUGCAAGGGAAACAUUUAUGGCUCUAGGAUGGGACUGUACGGUAUCAGUUAGUUGGUGAGGUAAUGGCUCACCAAGACAAUGACACCUAACUGGUUUGAGAGGAUGAUCAGUCACACUGGAACUGAGACACGGUCCAGACUCCUACGGGAGGCAGCAGUGGGGAAUAUUGCACAAUGGACGAAAGUCUGAUGCAGCAACGCCGCGUGGAGGAUGACACAUUUCGGUGCGUAAACUCCUUUUAUAUAGGAAGAUAAUGACGGUACUAUAUGAAUAAGCACCGGCUAACUCCGUGCCAGCAGCCGCGGUAAUACGGAGGGUGCAAGCGUUACUCGGAAUCACUGGGCGUAAAGAGAAUGUAGGCGGGUAAUUAAGUCAGAAGUGAAAUCCAAUAGCUCAACUAUUGAACUGCUUUUGAAACUGAUAACCUAGAAUAUGGGAGAGGUAGAUGGAAUUUCUGGUGUAGGGGUAAAAUCCGUAGAGAUCAGAAGGAAUACCGAUUGCGAAGGCGAUCUACUGGAACAUUAUUGACGCUGAGAUUCGAAAGCGUGGGGAGCAAACAGGAUUAGAUACCCUGGUAGUCCACGCCCUAAACGAUGCACACUAGUUGUUGCUAUGCUAGACAUAGCAGUAAUGCAGUUAACACAUUAAGUGUGCCGCCUGGGGAGUACGGUCGCAAGAUUA
Molecule: ribosomal RNA, 859 nt
Filed under: uncultured bacterium
Lineage: Bacteria
Description: bacterial SSU rRNA
Rfam family: Bacterial small subunit ribosomal RNA
Source: RNAcentral